This 433-nucleotide ribosomal RNA is filed under the name uncultured bacterium. RNAcentral's name for it is "partial 16S ribosomal RNA". It matches the Rfam family "Bacterial small subunit ribosomal RNA", at positions 29 to 507 of the family's 1533-position model. The record is from RNAcentral.
AACGAACGCUGGCGGCAGGCUUAACACAUGCAAGUCGAGCGAGACCUUCGGGUCUAGCGGCAGACGGGUGAGUAACGCGUGGGAACGUGCCCUUCUCUACGGAAUAGCCCCGGGAAACUGGGAGUAAUACCGUAUACGCCCUUUGGGGGAAAGAUUUAUCGGAGAAGGAUCGGCCCGCGUUGGAUUAGGUAGUUGGUGGGGUAAUGGCCCACCAAGCCGACGAUCCAUAGCUGGUUUGAGAGGAUGAUCAGCCACACUGGGACUGAGACACGGCCCAGACUCCUACGGGAGGCAGCAGUGGGGAAUCUUAGACAAUGGGGGCAACCCUGAUCUAGCCAUGCCGCGUGAGUGAUGAAGGCCUUAGGGUUGUAAAGCUCUUUCAGCUGGGAAGAUAAUGACGGUACCAGCAGAAGAAGCCCCGGCUAACUCCGUG